GGCGGGCGGAGGGCCGAAAACCCAGUAUGUGGGGCCAGGGUCACUUUUCUAGAGCUUCUGCAACGGAAAGUGUGAGUUUUUCAGGAGUUGUUCAAAUGGAUGAAGAUACACAUUACGAUAAAGUGGAAGAUGUGGUUGGAAGUCACAUAGAAGAUGCAGUAACAUUUUGGGCCCAGAGUAUCAGUAGAAAUAAGGAUAUCAUGAAGAUUGGUUGCUCACUGUCUGAAGUUUGCCCCCAGGCCAGUUCAGUUUUGGGGAAUCUUGACCCAAACAAGAUUUAUGGUGGAUUAUUUUCUGAAGAUCAGUGUUGGUACAGAUGCAAAGUACUGAAAAUCAUCAGCGUUGAAAAGUGUCUGGUGAGGUACAUUGACUAUGGAAAUACUGAAAUUCUAAAUCGAUCUGAUAUAGUUGAAAUUCCUUUGGAGCUGCAGUUUUCUAGUGUUGCCAAAAAGUAUAAACUUUGGGGACUACACAUUCCUUCUAAUCAAGAAGUUACCCAGUUUGAUCAGGGCACAACCUUUUUGGGGAGCUUGAUUUUUGAAAAGGAAAUAAAAAUGAGAAUUAAAGCAACCUCUGAAGAUGGAACAGUUAUUGCUCAGGCUGAGUAUGGCAGUGUGGAUAUAGGGGAAGAGGUAUUUAAGAAAGGAUUUGCAGAGAAAUGCAGACUUACUUCCAGAACUGACAUCUGUGAGGAAAAAAAAUUGGAUCCUGGUCAACUUGUUCUUGGGAACCUCAAAAGCCCCAUUCCUUUGUGGGGGCAUAGAUCAAACCAGUCAAACUUCAGCAGGCCCAAGGGGCACUUAAGUGAGAAAAUGACUCUUGACUUGAAGGAUGAAACUGAUGCAGGCAAUCUUAUAACAUUUCCAAAGGAAAGUUUGGCUGUUGGUGACUUUAAUUUAGGGUCUAACGUCAGCCUGGAAAAAAUUAAGCAGGACCAGAAACUGAUUGAAGAAAAUGAAAAACUUAAAACAGAGAAGGACGCUCUUCUUGAAAGUUAUAAGGCAUUAGAAUUGAAAGUAGAGCAGAUUGCGCAGGAGCUGCAGCAAGAGAAGGCAGCUGCUGUGGAUUUGACUAACCACUUAGAAAGCACUCUGAAGACCUGUAUAGAUACCAGAAUGAAAAAUCUGGCAGCUAAGAUGGAAAUACUGAAAGAAAUGAGGCAUGUCGGCAUCAGUGUCCGUUUUGGAAAAGACCUUUCAGAUGCUAUACAAGUGUUGGAUGAAGGGUGCUUUACUACUCCAGCUUCUUUGAAUGGAUUAGAGAUAAUAUGGGCAGAAUACAAUCUGGCUCAGGAGAAUAUUAAAACUUGUGAAUAUGUGAAUGAAGGGAAUAUUUUGAUUGCCCAAAGAAAUGAAAUGCAGCAGAAGCUGUACAUGUCAGUAGAAGAUUUUAUUCUGGAAGUUGAUGAGUCAUCUCUUAAUAAACGCUUAAAAACGUUGCAGGAUUUGUCAGUCUCUUUAGAAGCAGUGUAUGGACAAGCCAAAGAAGGAGCAAAUUCUGAUGAAAUACUUAAAAAAUUUUAUGACUGGAAGUGUGAUAAAAGAGAGGAGUUCACCAAUGUUAGAAGUGAAACAGAUGCUUCUUUGCAGCGUCUUGUAGCAUGGUUCCAAAGAACCUUAAAGGUUUUUGACCUAUCUAUGGAAGAAUCACUGAUUUCAGAAGACGCAAUGGAUAAUAUUGAUGAAAUCCUAGAGAAGACUGAGUCAAGUGUGUGCAAAGAGCUGGAGAUAGCUCUGGUUGAUCAAGGUGAUGCAGACAAGGAGAUAAUUUUAAAUACAUAUAGUCAAGUACUGCAAAAGAUUCGUUCAGAGGAAAGGCUCAUUGCCACAGUACAAGCUAAGUACAAGGACAGUAUUGAGGUUUGAUUGUGCUUUCUCUUAUUGAUCUUAUAAAUUGAUGCUUUGAAUUUUUCAGUACUUAAAUUUUUCUCUUGUUGUUUAAUACUCAGUGUCAGUAAAUUAUCUAUUAUUAUUAGAAUUCACUAUCAACUGGAAAUGGUGAUUUUUAAUGAUAUAAAUAUAUCAAAUUUUUUAUUGUUUUAAAAAUUUUAUUUUCUUAUGUCCAUGAGAACCAUAAUCUUUAACAUCAUUUUCUUUUUGCCUGUAUAAGUCUACUGUAGAUAAUUUGCUAUAUACAGAAAGAUAAGAAAUAAAACAUUGCUUGUAAUUCCCUUAGCCUAAGAGAUAGUUUUAGAGUAUUUACUCACUGGAUGUGCAUCUGUAUGUUUGUGAGCAUAUAUAUAUGCAUUGCAUUGUUUUUUAAGUUACUUCAAACAUACUUUCUUCCUUUAAUGGUAUAUUAUGAACAUUUUUCUAUAUGAUUUUUCUAUACUGUCAUCUUGAGUGACUAAAUCCUCAUCCCUAUGUAGAUGUACAACAUUAACCUUUCAUGUGUGUUGGACAUUAAGAUUACUUCCAAUUUUUCCUACCAUAAAUAACACUGUACAUAUGUUCGUGCAUAAUUUUUUGUUUUUAUUUCUCAGAUUUCUAAAUUCCAUAAUUACUGAGUUAAAAGGAAUGGACAUUAUUAAAACUUGAUACAUAUUUUCAAACCACUUUUGGGAAAGAUGAUUUCAGUUUACAUGCUCACUAGAAAUUCCUUUUUCAUCCAUACUAACAAUGUGUGUUUUAUUGUAUGUCUCAGUUUGAAAUAUUACUUUUGUCUUUGCUACUUUGAGUGCUGGAACUGAUAUUCUUCUAAAUAGAAACAUGGAUAAAAAGGAAAUCUAUUGAAUUGUCUUGUUGAAAAUUAUAGAUUUUCUAAGUAUCUCAAUCUGAACUCAGUACAUGCUAGGUGAAUCUUAACAGAGAAAUAAUAAAUGAUCACUGUUCAAUAAAUAUUUUUCUUAUGUGUUUGAAAAUACAUAACUUUUGUUUACUUAGUUUAAAAAGCAGCUUAUUGAAUAUUUAAAUAAGAGUCCCAGUGUGGAUCACUUGCUAUCCAUUAAGAAGACAUUGAAAAGCUUAAAAGCUCGACUCAGAUGGAAAUUGGUUGAAAAAAAUAAUUUGGAAGAGUCAGAUGAUCCUGAUGGCUCUCAAAUUGAGAAAAUAAAAGAAGAAAUAACUCAGCUGCGCAAUAAUGUCUUUCAAGAAAUUUAUCAUGAGAGAGAGGAAUAU
This 3116-nucleotide small RNA is filed under the name Pongo abelii (Sumatran orangutan). RNAcentral's name for it is "retained intron". Lineage: Eukaryota; Metazoa; Chordata; Mammalia; Primates; Hominidae. The record is from RNAcentral.